CACUCGGUGCUAAAUUCAGUUUUAGAGAGCGGAGUGGCUUCAAAUUGAGGU
Molecule: non-coding RNA, 51 nt
Organism: Avibacterium paragallinarum JF4211
Lineage: Bacteria; Pseudomonadati; Pseudomonadota; Gammaproteobacteria; Pasteurellales; Pasteurellaceae
Source: Rfam